Molecule: long non-coding RNA, 168 nt
Organism: Fundulus heteroclitus (mummichog)
Lineage: Eukaryota; Metazoa; Chordata; Actinopteri; Cyprinodontiformes; Fundulidae
Exons: 2
Source: RefSeq, a predicted model, not a curated record
CCUUCGUAACAAGGAGUCAGAGUUCUGCCCUCAGCACGUCCAGGAGCGGCCAGUCGCAGAGUGCGAGCCGAACCAGGGACCGAGCCGCCAGCGUCAAAAUAAAGACUGAUAUUAUUUUUGUACUCACUUGUUUUCGGGUAUUUCUUGGGUCCUCCUAAAUUCAUCACA